UUCGCCGCCGGAGUUGUUGUGAGAAGUUCAUUAAACCUUAUCAUUUAGAGGAAGGAGAAGUCGUAACAAGGUCUCCGUAGGUGAACCUGCGGAAGGAUCAUUGAACACACGAUCUGGAAAAAACACUGCGAACUGUCACUUUGUACCCCGAGGGAUCGUGCUGGGAGGCACGGUCGUCGGAGUCUCGAGUAGAGGAUGCAUGUGCCUCACCCGUGAUCCCGCUGUUGGUGCGGGGGGGGGAAGACAGACUCGGGUGCUCCGUCNNAAAACCCCCCACACGCGGGGGUCCGUGCUCCUGGACAGAAAGGCGUCAAAAGAGAGCAGCCCCCUUGGAAGUCGGACAUUCGGGAGAGGAGCCAACUCACUUCGGGCCGCGGGGUCAGCUCUCGCCACGGCGGGGCGCUGCGCGGCUCGAGAUCCGGAGAGUGUUCCCCUCCCCCCGGGGAGGGGAGCUGGGAUCAUCCUUGGGGGGGGGCCUUUGCGAGGGCCGCCCAUUGGAGAGCCAUCCCUCCCCUGGUGCCCCUUUUUUUUUUUUCUCCAAAAAGAAGUUGAACAAAACAACGGAUGGGGUUAGGUGAGGAACACGCGGGCCGCCGGGGAAGCACCCCCUGUGGGGGCGGAGCCUCGCCGGCCGGGCAAAUUUCAGCAAUGUCACAAAAACACAAAUGACUCUCAGCAACGGAUAUCUUGGCUCUUGCAACGAUGAAGAACGCAGCGAAAUGCGAUACCUAGUGUGAAUUGCAGAAUUCCGCGAAUCAUCGAGUUUUUGAACGCAAGUUGCGCCCGAGGCUUGUUCCAAGGGCAUGCCUGCCUGAGCGUCCGCUCCAACCCACCCACCAGCCUCCCGCCCCCCCUCUCCAUGGGGACGUGGGAGGCAAUGCGAGUGGAACUGGUCGUCCGGGAACCCGCCCGGAUUCCCCUUUUGGGGUUGAAGGGCUAAGGAUUCACGGUUGGCUGAAACGUGUUGGCCGUCCGUCAAGCACGCGCUAGGGUCGUGGUGCGUUGCGAGAAGGUGCCAUCCGGCUCUCGCCCAUCUGGGGACGGGAGACGGACGUUCAUAUGUGAAAGCUUUGCAUCGCCCCCUGCGCAGGCGAGGGUUGGCGGAUUGGCUAAGAAGGACAUGGGGACGACAGCGGGCCCGCUCGGUGCAUCCUUGUCCCAUCCAGGACACUCCCUCUUGCGAGGGGGUUUCUGGAAGGGAGAUGUGCGGGCGGGCCCACGUGCAUCGCGUUGCUAGGACCUCAGAUCAGGCAAGACCACCCGCUGAGUUUAA
Molecule: ribosomal RNA, 1273 nt
Filed under: Leptolejeunea radicosa
Lineage: Eukaryota; Viridiplantae; Streptophyta; Jungermanniopsida; Porellales; Lejeuneaceae
Description: eukaryotic LSU rRNA
Rfam family: 5.8S ribosomal RNA (bases 668-821)
Source: RNAcentral